This 562-nucleotide ribosomal RNA is filed under the name uncultured bacterium. RNAcentral's name for it is "partial 16S ribosomal RNA". It matches the Rfam family "Bacterial small subunit ribosomal RNA", at positions 355 to 906 of the family's 1533-position model. The record is from RNAcentral.
UGGGGAAUUUUGGACAAUGGGGGCAACCCUGAUCCAGCAAUGCCGCGUGUGUGAAGAAGGCCUUCGGGUUGUAAAGCACUUUUGUCCGGAAAGAAAACGCCGUGGUUAAUACCCGUGGCGGAUGACGGUACCGGAAGAAUAAGCACCGGCUAACUACGUGCCAGCAGCCGCGGUAAUACGUAGGGUGCAAGCGUUAAUCGGAAUUACUGGGCGUAAAGCGUGCGCAGGCGGUCCGCUAAGACAGAUGUGAAAUCCCCGGGCUUAACCUGGGAACUGCAUUUGUGACUGGCGGGCUAGAGUAUGGCAGAGGGGGGUUAGAAUUCCACGUGUAGCANUGAAAUGCGUAGAGAUGUGGAGGAAUACCGAUGGCGAAGGCAGCCCCCUGGGCCAAUACUGACGCUCAUGCACGAAAGCGUGGGGGAGCAAACAGGAUUAGAUACCCGUGGUAGUCCACGCCCUAAACGAUGUCAACUAGUUGUCGGGCUCUUCAUUGACUUGGUAACGUAGCUAACGCGUGAAGUUGACCGCCUGGGGAGUACGGUCGCAAGAUUAAAACUUAAAU